This 253-nucleotide ribosomal RNA is filed under the name uncultured bacterium. RNAcentral's name for it is "partial 16S ribosomal RNA". It matches the Rfam family "Bacterial small subunit ribosomal RNA", at positions 524 to 776 of the family's 1533-position model. The record is from RNAcentral.
UACGUAGGGGGCAAGCGUUGUCCGGAAUCAUUGGGCGUAAAGCGCGUGUAGGCGGCUCGGUAAGUCUGCUGUGAAAGUCCAGGGCUCAACCCUGGGAUGCCGGUGGAUACUGUCGAGCUCGAGUCCGGAAGAGGCGAGUGGAAUUCCUGGUGUAGCGGUGAAAUGCGCAGAUAUCAGGAGGAACACCAAUGGCGAAGGCAGCUCGCUGGGACGUAACUGACGCUGAGACGCGAAAGCGUGGGGAGCAAACAGG